UACGUAGGGUGCGAGCGUUGUCCGGAAUUACUGGGCGUAGAGAGCUCGUAGGUGGUUUGUCGCGUUGUUCGUGAAAACCGGAGGCUCAACCUCUGGCGUGCGGGCGAUACGGGCAGACUUGAGUACUGCAGGGGAGACUGGAAUUCCUGGUGUAGCGGUGGAAUGCGCAGAUAUCAGGAGGAACACCGGUGGCGAAGGCGGGUCUCUGGGCAGUAACUGACGCUGAGGAGCGAAAGCGUGGGGAGCGAACAGG
RNAcentral lists this ribosomal RNA (253 nucleotides) under uncultured bacterium. RNAcentral's name for it is "partial 16S ribosomal RNA". It matches the Rfam family "Bacterial small subunit ribosomal RNA", at positions 524 to 776 of the family's 1533-position model. The record is from RNAcentral.